Molecule: long non-coding RNA, 1392 nt
Organism: Lathyrus oleraceus (garden pea)
Lineage: Eukaryota; Viridiplantae; Streptophyta; Magnoliopsida; Fabales; Fabaceae
Exons: 4
Source: RefSeq, a predicted model, not a curated record
GGCCUUAGGCCCAAACCGUUGGGACUCGAAGAGGCACAUGUCAAUCUCCACAACAACGUUCACGUGGGAUUCUGCACUGCGGCGGUACACUCUUCGAGCUUCACCUCUAUCAUUCCAUCAUCAACCGCGUCUAAUCACACUUUGUUCAGUCGUGGAUGAAUCACCGGAAUGUCUUCUCAAAGCGAAACCCACACGGCGGUGCAUUCUCUGUUUUUUCGGCUUCGCCUUCAUCGAUUUUGUUUCGUCACCCUGCAAUAACUCGUUGAUUUACGUCGCUCUUCACUCAGUCUGCGUUCGCCGAUGCUUAUCUCGGUUUGAUAAUUCGAGCUCUUCUCAACAACAACUGCUAGUGAUGACGCAACGACGUCGACGUAGAACCGAAACUAUAUUGCAAAUUGAAAUAGGCAAAAUGAAGACUUACCGGUUUCAACGCGGCAUUAACAACAAGUAUCGAUUGUGUUUUUCUCGCUUGUAUACUUGGUGCGUGUAUCCGCUUCGUGCUCUCCCUUCUUAUUUCCCUCUGCUUCAGUGAGUGAGGCGAGCUUCUUCUUCCUUCUUGUGAUUUGGUGAAGAGAGUAGUGGCGUGUGGAUUGAUGCUGAGUGGAGAUGAAGUGUGAGGAUAAUGAUCCGAGAGCAAGAUUGGGGAAUGAAUGGAGGAUUUUAUAGAGUGGUGGUUGCAACAGAAUUGGGCAGCUUAGGGCAAAGAGGGUCAUUGCUUGUAGUACCGAUGUAUUGAUGCAGCGACUUAUGGUGUUCAAUGCCCGUGUAGGCUGCUGCCAUGUUCAUCUGCUACAAUAGGACUUUCUUGCUCCACCAGGCUUUUGUUGUGGAGUUUUGCAGUGGAUGAUUAUCACAGAGCUGUUGCGAGAUCUGAAAUUUGGCCAAUGUUGAUUCUGUUAUGCACUUACACCAUGAGUCAUUUGGCCAGGUUAACAUAAGUUGUGGCAUGCGAAUCAUGUCGGACAAUGUAUUGUGUUAUGUGAUGGAUUUUGGCAUGAUGGUUGGUUUUUGAAUUGUCUUGACAUUGAUUUCAAUUUGUUAAUUGCUCAUGAUUUUGGUUUUGUUUGAAGGUUCGCGGUCGAAUGCUCCUGUGCGUGCAACUUGAAGAUGGAUUAGCUUUGGCUCAAGGAAUUCUGGAAUUAGGCUUGGUGAUUUGGGAGUGAAUUAAGCUUAGAAAUAUUGCAAUUGAACUAGCCAACAUAAUGUAAAUAUGUAUAGGCCAUGGUUUUGGAUAUAAUUUAGAAUUUGGUUGAAAAACCCAUGCUUAUCCUUGUAGUUUUCUUCUUUGUGCAAUGUUUGAAUCAAAUAAAAAACAUGUAAACCAUGAUUGGCAAUUUAUGGAAAUGUGAAUGGUUGGCUUAUGAAAUUUGUAAAGGUUGGAAAUUCUUGUCA